This 439-nucleotide ribosomal RNA is filed under the name uncultured bacterium. RNAcentral's name for it is "partial 16S ribosomal RNA". It matches the Rfam family "Bacterial small subunit ribosomal RNA", at positions 339 to 795 of the family's 1533-position model. The record is from RNAcentral.
CUACGGGUCGCAGCAGUGAGGAAUAUUGCACAAUGGGGGAACCCUGAUGCAGCAACGCCGCGUGGAGGAUGACGCAUUUCGGUGUGUAAACUCCUUUUAUAUGUCAAGAAAAUGACGGUAGCAUAUGAAUAAGCACCGGCUAACUCCGUGCCAGCAGCCGCGGUAAUACGGGAGGGUGCAAGCGUUACUCGGAAUCACUGGGCGUAAAGGACGCGUAGGCGGGUUGGAAAGUCAGGUGUGAAAUCCUACAGCUUAACUGUAGAACUGCACUUGAAACUUCUAAUCUAGAGUAUGGAAGGGGGAGAUGGAAUUAGUGGUGUAGGGGUAAAAUCCGUAGAUAUCACUAGGAAUACCUAAAGCGAAGGCGAUCUCCUGGAACAUUGCUGACGCUAAGGCGUGAAAGCGUGGGGGGCAAACAGGAUUAGAUACCCGGGUAGUC